Molecule: ribosomal RNA, 330 nt
Filed under: uncultured bacterium
Lineage: Bacteria
Description: bacterial SSU rRNA
Rfam family: Bacterial small subunit ribosomal RNA
Source: RNAcentral
CGGGUGCGUAACGCGUGGGUAACCUGCCCUUUAGUGGGGAAUAACCCCGGGAAACCGGGGCUAAUACCGCAUAAGAUCCGCAAGGAUGAAGCCGUAAGGCGCUGAUGGAGGGGCCCGCGCACGAUUAGCUAGUUGGUAGGGUAACGGCCUACCAAGGCUAUGAUCGUUAGCUGGUCUGAGAGGAUGGCCAGCCACACUGGAACUGAGACACGGUCCAGACUCCUACGGGAGGCAGCAGUGGGGAAUCUUGCACAAUGGGCGAAAGCCUGAUGCAGCGACGCCGCGUGGGGGAUGAAGCUUCUCGGAGUGUAAACCCCUUUCGACCCGGAC